UAUGAAGGCGGGCUGGAACCUCUCGGGGUUACAGCCUUGCUGAAUUAUUCACCCUUGUCUUUUGCGUACUUCUUGUUUCCUUGGUGGGUUCGCCCACCACUAGGACAAACAUAAACCUUUUGUAAUUGCAAUCAGCGUCAGUAACAAAUUAAUAAUUACAACUUUCAACAACGGAUCUCUUGGUUCUGGCAUCGAUGAAGAACGCAGCGAAAUGCGAUAAGUAGUGUGAAUUGCAGAAUUCAGUGAAUCAUCGAAUCUUUGAACGCACAUUGCGCCCUUUGGUAUUCCAAAGGGCAUGCCUGUUCGAGCGUCAUUUGUACCCUCAAGCUUUGCUUGGUGUUGGGCGUCUUGUCUCUAGCUUUGCUGGAGACUCGCCUUAAAGUAAUUGGCAGCCGGCCUACUGGUUUCGGAGCGCAGCACAAGUCGCACUCUCUAUCAGCAAAGGUCUAGCAUCCAUUAAGCCUUUUUUUCAACUUUUGACCUCGGAUCAGGUAGGGAUACCCGC
Molecule: ribosomal RNA, 505 nt
Filed under: Alternaria alternata
Lineage: Eukaryota; Fungi; Ascomycota; Dothideomycetes; Pleosporales; Pleosporaceae
Description: eukaryotic LSU rRNA
Rfam family: 5.8S ribosomal RNA (bases 160-313)
Source: RNAcentral